This 371-nucleotide ribosomal RNA is filed under the name uncultured organism. Its description in RNAcentral is "partial 16S ribosomal RNA". It matches the Rfam family "Bacterial small subunit ribosomal RNA", at positions 527 to 896 of the family's 1533-position model. The record is from RNAcentral.
GGAGGGUGCAAGCGUUAAUCGGACUGACUGGGCGUAAAGGGUGCGUAGGCGGACUUACAAGUUAGAUGUGAAAUCCCUGGGCUCAACCUAGGGUUUGCGUUUAAGACUGUAAGACUUGAGUACAGAAGGGGGCAGAGGAAUUUCCGGUGUAGCGGUGAAAUGCGUAGAUAUCGGAAAGAACAUCAGUGGUGAAGACGUCUGCCUGGACUGUAACUGACGCUGAGGCACGAAAGCGUGGGUAGCGAACAGGGAUUAGAUACCCUGGUAGUCCACGCAGUAAACGAUGAGUACUAGCUGUUGGAGUGCGACGACACUUUAGUGGCGCAGCAAACGCGAUAAGUACUCCGCCUGGGAUUACGGCCGCAAGGCUA